Molecule: ribosomal RNA, 253 nt
Filed under: uncultured bacterium
Lineage: Bacteria
Description: partial 16S ribosomal RNA
Rfam family: Bacterial small subunit ribosomal RNA
Source: RNAcentral
UACGUAGGGCGCAAGCGUUGUCCGGAAUUAUUGGGCGUAAAGAGCUCGUAGGCGGCUUGUCACGUCGGGUGUGAAAGCCCGGGGCUUAACCCCGGGUCUGCAUUCGAUACGGGCUAGCUAGAGUGUGGUAGGGGAGAUCGGAAUUCCUGGUGUAGCGGUGAAAUGCGCAGAUAUCUGGAGGAACACCGGUGGCGAAGGCGGCAUCCUGGACCGGCAUUGACGCUGAGGCGCGAAAGCCAGGGGAGCAAACGGG